Balaenoptera acutorostrata (minke whale) is the source of this 3568-nucleotide long non-coding RNA. RefSeq lists it as uncharacterized. The transcript has 8 exons. NCBI's taxonomy places the organism in Eukaryota, Metazoa, Chordata, Mammalia, Artiodactyla, Balaenopteridae. The record is from RefSeq and is a predicted model, not a curated record.
CGGCCCGCCUGGGCCGUCAGCUCUCCCGGUCUCGCGUCGUUACUCCUGCGUGAAGCGGUGAGUCGCGCGCGGGUCGGCGACUCACUCUGGGGGUCUCCACCGCUGAACCCUCCUGAAAGACUGACUGGCGGAAACUGGGACUGGAGUGUGAGCAUCUGAGGGGCUCUCCAGUGGGGCUUGGAGAGGAAUGUCUCAAAUGACUUUUCUUGAAAGCUGAGGGAGGUUUUGAAGAUCAAGUGAAGGAAGAGGGCCUAGCUCGUCUGCUGGUGGCAUCGUCUCAUCAAUCAUGUCAUCAAUUGCUAGAAAUAUGAGAACUCUCCAGAAGAUCAAGUACUGUGUAGUAGUUACCAUGCACAGGCCCCAUAGAGCCCUGGCCUUUGAGAAUGCCCUAUUCCCCAACCCAAAAGAAGGUCCCAUGUGACAAAGUUUGGAUUAGACAUUACAAAUGGCUUCCAAUGGACUACUUGCCAGACUUUGUCAUGGGAACCAUCUGAUGAGCAGAACAAAGUGCAAGUGCAUAAGCAACUUCCAAUGAGAACCUAUGUAUGGGCUUGGCCCAGGUAUCUUGAAACCCUGGGAAGACCUAAAUAUAAACAAAAUUUUGCAAAGGAGAAGGGAAUCGUGAACAAAUCACCUUUCUAUAAGACACCACAAACGAUGACUGGAGAUCUGAAUUGGAAAUGCCACUGCAGCCCUGUGACCCAAGGCUCUGGAAUGGAUCAGCCCUCCUACUCACUCCCUCCUGCACACACUGCGUCUCCAUGGAAACAGCUUGUCAGGCCCUGUUUGGCUGCAGGUUCUGAAGACCUCUCAUCAGCAGCCCCAGUCCUGCACAGAUUCAGUCUUAAUAAGCCAGGCUUCUAAGGAGGAACUUGUACUAGGAGGCCCAUCCUCUCUAGCUGGUGAGGUCUGGAAUUGUCCUUAAGUCUCCUUUGGGGUAUACCUGGGGAGUCCUGAAUGUCACUGAGUUGCCCUGACCUUCCAACACUGAUAUUCAGGUCAAUGGCAGGGUUUCCAUCCUAGGUUCCUGCUUCAACCUGAACUCAUCAUCUCCUUCCAGCAAGCCUUCUGCUCCCAUCAUCUCUCCCCACCCACCAAAGGUGAAAGUCAUUCUGAGCUCUACAGGCCCCACCUGUGGCUAAUCACUAAGAGUCUUCUGUUGUCGGGCAUCAUUCAUCCAUCAGAUCGGAUCCGGCAUUUGCUACACUGCCAGGACACUGCAACUUGGACUGCUGGCCACUGUCCUUGGGGGUACAUCUACAAAUGGGCAGUAAUGGAGAGAACUUAAAGGCAUUAAACAUCAUAGAUGAGGGUGGAAGUACACGUUUUCUGUUUCUUUAAGCUAGACAAAAACCUAACAAUCUGAAUUGGAAUACUAUCACUCAUAACUUCUACUAUAUAAAUUAAUAAUUUUAACAAGUAUAACGUUCUAGUAGACAUGAGACAGUUAAUGUAGAGACCAAGGAACAACUGGGUCAUUUGCCUCAGUACUGAGGUAGUUUCUUAAUUGGACGUGUUAGGAGUGGUAGAAGGUCUCGUCUGUUGACAACUUAGAAAGUUGCAGUUGAGGAGGCAAAAGGAAAACAGAAAUCAUAAGCACUUUUACACAUAUGAAGUUGUUAAUAGGCAGCUUCUAACUCUAUGUAUGUUCGUGUUACUAAAACCUAGAACAGCACUCAAAGUACUUGUAAGUGCUCAACAACUGUUUGUUUAACCAAAACCAAACUAAAAGCAAAACAAAAUGAAACAAACAAAACUGGUACUUGUUAACAUCAGUCAGCUAUGUCCUACUCUAGGUUCAAUAAUACUAUCAGAUUAAUAUAAACUCUGAAACCAAAGUAACCAUGUCCUAUGAUUGUAUAGCAUCAUCCCACAUGUAUUUCCUUUUCAUACUCAACAGUUCUAUACUCAACAUAUACUCAGUAUGUAGUCUUUAUUGCCUCCAUUUACAGGUAAAGGAACCACGUCAUAACAGGUAAAGGGGCUUGCUCAGAUAAGCAAGAAAAUUAAUGUUAACCUAGAGUCUAAGAUUCUUAACUCCAAAAUGAAUAGACAAAAUUAAAAGACAAAAAAAAUCCUUUAUUAGGGGCAAAGAGAUCCUCCUUAAUAUUUUAAUAAAGAACUAUCACAACUCAAUAAUGAAAAGACAAAGACCCUAAUAGAAAAAUUGGCAAAGUACACAAACUAACAAAUCAUAAAAGGAGAUCUCUGUAGUAAUCAAAGAAAUACUUUAUUGUUAAUCAGGCUCUGCUUAAAAUGUGAGUUCAGAGAUCGCUGGUAAAAUGGCCUAGACUAGAUUUCAGAACAAAGGUUAAAGAUAAAUGGGCCUUGGGGCUUCCCUGGUGGCGCAGUGGUUAAGAACCUGCCUGCCAAUGCAGGGGACAUGGGUUCGAGCCCUGGUCCGGGAAGAUCCCACAUGCUGCAGAGCAACUAAGCCAGUGCACUACAACUACUGAGCCUGCGCUCUAGAGCCCGUAAGCCACAACUACUGAAGCCCGCGUGCCUAGAGCCCAUGCUCCGCAACAAGAGAAGCCACUGCAACGAGAAGCAUGUGCACUGCAACAAAGAGUAGCCCCCGCUCACCACAACUAGAGAAAGCCUGCGUGCGCAGCAACGAAGACUCAAUGCAGCCAAAAAUAAAUAAAUAAAAUUUAAAAAUUUAUAAUAAAUAAAUAAAUGGGCCUUGGACUUCCCUGGUGGUGCAGUGGUUAAGAAUCUGCCUGCCAAUGCAGGGGACACGGGUUCGAGCCCUGGUCCGGGAAGAUCCCACAUGCUGCAGAGCCACUAAGCCCGUGCACCACAACUACUGAGCCUGAGCUCUAGAGCCCACAAGCCACAACUGCUGAGCCCGCGUGCUACAACUACUGAAGCCCGUGCUCCUAGAGCCCAUGCUCCACAACAAGAGAAGCCACCACGAUGAAAAGCCCAUGCACCGCAACGAAGAGUAGCCCCCGCUCGCUGCAAGUAGAGAAAGCCCACACGUAGCAACAAAGACCCAACACAGCCAAAAAUAAAUAAAUAAAAUAAAUAAAUUUAUAAUAAAUAAAUAAAUAAAUGAGCCUUUUCCUUGCCCUAAUCCCAAUUUGAGUUUUGCAGUUUUAAUACCUUCCACUGGGAGUGAAGACAUGAGAAAGCCAAAAGCAUUGGGAAGAACAGAUCAGCAUUGUCUGGGCCUCACAGAUAAUUAUCAGCAGCUGAGGAGAAGGAAUUCAUAGGGCAGCAUCCCAGAGCCUGUGGGCCCCCGAUGUUCCUCAGGGACAGAGUCAAGCCUUGUCUGGCUCUAUGAAGAGCCCUGUAGUCUUGCUCCUCAAACUGUGGUUCGUGGGCAGCAGCGGGGACAUCUCCCCGGACCUUACGGAAAUGCCGAACCUCGAGCCCUGACUCCAGGCCUCUUGAAUCAGAAUCUGCAUUUUAGCAAGUUUCCCAGGUAACAUGCACACACAGUGAAGCUUGAAAAGCAUUGCCCUGGGGGGCGUGGCUCAGGGUCUGCUCAUUGCAGGUGCUCAGUAAAUGCAUGCCCACUGAAUGAAAGACUGGACAGAGUGAUCUCUGUGGUCCCUUUCAAAAG